Molecule: ribosomal RNA, 253 nt
Filed under: uncultured bacterium
Lineage: Bacteria
Description: partial 16S ribosomal RNA
Rfam family: Bacterial small subunit ribosomal RNA
Source: RNAcentral
UACGGAGGGUGCAAGCGUUAUCCGGAUUCACUGGGUUUAAAGGGUGCGUAGGCGGGCAGUUAAGUCAGUGGUGAAAUCCUUGAGCUCAACUCGAGAACUGCCAUUGAUACUAUCUGUCUUGAAUAUUGUGGAGGUAAGCGGAAUAUGUCAUGUAGCGGUGAAAUGCUUAGAUAUGACAUAGAACACCUAUUGCGAAGGCAGCUUACUACGCAUAUAUUGACGCUGAGGCACGAAAGCGUGGGGAUCAAACAGG